AGCAAAGGAAACUCCACAGCUGACGGCACACAUCUGAAUGCAGGAUGUUGCAUGUUCAACUAUUCCAUAGUUGCAACAUCUGUUCUCAAAAAGAUCUUUCGUACGCCCUGCGAUUGGCUGGCGACCAAUCCAGGAUGUACCCUGUCUAUCGCCCGAAGUUGGCUGGGAUGGACUCCAGCCCCCCCGCGACCCUGUGUGCAGGAUAAGCGGUUUGACGACGGACGGAUGGACAAACUAAGACCCCAACGAGUCCAAAGAAAUAUCCACUUUCAGCAUUACACCAUUCAAAAUGACGGCGUGCUGCACGCCGCCAUGGAUUUCGGCAGGCUGACGGGGAAGCACGGCGUGAGGAUCGCGCUGAGCCCCUCGUACUCGGUGGAGGACUGCAGUCUGGCCGUGGGGAAGCUGGUGGGCCACCGCAGCGUGAAGUCCGCAGCGCGCAUGAACAACGCGGUGGUCAUCUUCCUCGACAGCGUGGAGAAGUCGGACGCGGUGGUGGUCAGCGGGAUUGCCGUGCACGGCGCGCUCGUGCCCGUUCUGCCUCUCCCCACGCCGGCGGUGAGAGUGACGGUGUCGAACGUCCCCCCGUUCAUCGGGGACGAGGCUCUGGUCAAGGAGCUGUCAAAGUAUG
Molecule: long non-coding RNA, 631 nt
Organism: Gasterosteus aculeatus aculeatus (three-spined stickleback)
Lineage: Eukaryota; Metazoa; Chordata; Actinopteri; Perciformes; Gasterosteidae
Source: Ensembl